This 238-nucleotide long non-coding RNA is filed under the name Lathyrus oleraceus (garden pea). Its description in RNAcentral is "Pisum sativum (pea) long non-coding RNA (PSAT_LNC006713)". The record is from RNAcentral. Lineage: Eukaryota; Viridiplantae; Streptophyta; Magnoliopsida; Fabales; Fabaceae.
UUACAUAUCAUGUCUCUAGCAUGUAUUAACACAAACUAUGUUAUUGAUCGGUCUCAGAAAGUUGUGACUUCUACAUAAGUUACAUUACGAUUGCUUAACAUAGAGUUAAAUUUGUCUCGAAAGCAAGUCAUUUUUAUAAGUGAGAUUGUAAGUCUCCCACUCCUCAUGGUAUUAUGUGAAAAUAUUUCCCCCUUUUCAUUUAUGAGAGCUAGUGGCAUACUUGUUGAUUUAAUCCAAG